UACGAAGGGGGCUAGCGUUGCUCGGAAUCACUGGGCGUAAAGGGUGCGUAGGCGGGUCUUUAAGUCAGGGGUGAAAUCCUGGAGCUCAACUCCAGAACUGCCCUUGAUACUGAAGAUCUUGAGUUCGGGAGAGGUGAGUGGAACUGCGAGUGUAGAGGUGAAAUUCGUAGAUAUUCGCAAGAACACCAGUGGCGAAGGCGGCUCACUGGCCCGAUACUGACGCUGAGGCACGAAAGCGUGGGGAGCAAACGGG
RNAcentral lists this ribosomal RNA (253 nucleotides) under uncultured bacterium. RNAcentral's name for it is "partial 16S ribosomal RNA". It matches the Rfam family "Bacterial small subunit ribosomal RNA", at positions 524 to 776 of the family's 1533-position model. The record is from RNAcentral.